GGGCGUUUGGCGCAGUCGGUAGCGCGUGGGUCUCAUAAUCCCGAGGUCGCGAGUUCGAUCCUCGCAGUGCCCA
This 73-nucleotide transfer RNA is filed under the name Toxoplasma gondii p89. Its description in RNAcentral is "tRNA-Met". It matches the Rfam family "tRNA". From Rfam's summary of the family: Transfer RNA (tRNA) molecules are approximately 80 nucleotides in length. Their secondary structure includes four short double-helical elements and three loops (D, anti-codon, and T loops). Further hydrogen bonds mediate the characteristic L-shaped molecular structure. tRNAs have two regions of fundamental functional importance: the anti-codon, which is responsible for specific mRNA codon recognition, and the 3' end, to which the tRNAs corresponding amino acid is attached (by aminoacyl-tRNA synthetases). tRNAs cope with the degeneracy of the genetic code in two manners: having more than one tRNA (with a specific anti-codon) for a particular amino acid; and 'wobble' base-pairing, i.e. permitting non-standard base-pairing at the 3rd anti-codon position. Lineage: Eukaryota; Apicomplexa; Conoidasida; Eucoccidiorida; Sarcocystidae. The record is from RNAcentral.